Molecule: ribosomal RNA, 731 nt
Filed under: Ligilactobacillus salivarius
Lineage: Bacteria; Bacillati; Bacillota; Bacilli; Lactobacillales; Lactobacillaceae
Description: bacterial SSU rRNA
Rfam family: Bacterial small subunit ribosomal RNA
Source: RNAcentral
UUCUUACACCGAAUGCUUGCAUUCAUCGUAAGAAGUUGAGUGGCGGACGGGUGAGUAACACGUGGGUAACCUGCCUAAAAGAAGGGGAUAACACUUGGAAACAGGUGCUAAUACCGUAUGUCUCUAAGGAUCGCAUGACCCUUAGAUGAAAGAUGGUUCUGCUAUCGCUUUUAGAUGGACCCGCGGCGUAUUAACUAGUUGGUGGGGUAACGGCCUACCAAGGUGAUGAUACGUAGCCGAACUGAGAGGUUGAUCGGCCACAUUGGGACUGAGACACGGCCCAAACUCCUACGGGAGGCAGCAGUAGGGAAUCUUCCACAAUGGACGCAAGUCUGAUGGAGCAACGCCGCGUGAGUGAAGAAGGUCUUCGGAUCGUAAAACUCUGUUGUUAGAGAAGAACACGAGUGAGAGUAACUGUUCAUUCGAUGACGGUAUCUAACCAGCAAGUCACGGCUAACUACGUGCCAGCAGCCGCGGUAAUACGUAGGUGGCAAGCGUUGUCCGGAUUUAUUGGGCGUAAAGGGAACGCAGGCGGUCUUUUAAGUCUGAUGUGAAAGCCUUCGGCUUAACCGGAGUAGUGCAUUGGAAACUGGAAGACUUGAGUGCAGAAGAGGAGAGUGGAACUCCAUGUGUAGCGGUGAAAUGCGUAGAUAUAUGGAAGAACACCAGUGGCGAAAGCGGCUCUCUGGUCUGUAACUGACGCUGAGGUUCGAAAGCGUGGGUAGCAAACA